GACGAACGCUGGCGGCGUGCCUAAUACAUGCAAGUCGGACGAGAGCGACCGGUGCUUGCUCUGGUCAAUCUAGUGGCGAACGGGUGAGUAACACGUGGGUAACCUGCCCAUCAGAGGGGGAUAACAUUCGGAAACGGAUGCUAAAACCGCAUAAGUCUUCGAACCGCAUGGUUUGAUGAGGAAAAGAGGCGCACGCUUCUGUUGAUGGAUGGACCCGCGGUGCAUUAGCUAGUUGGUGAGGUAACGGCUCACCAAGGCCGUGAUGCAUAGCCGACCUGAGAGGGUGAUCGGCCACAUUGGAACUGAGACACGGCCCAAACUCCUACGGGAGGCAGCAGUAGGGAAUCUUCCGCAAUGGACGCAAGUCUGACGGAGCAACGCCGCGUGAGUGAAGAAGGUUUUCGGAUCGUAAAACUCUGUUAUUAGAGAAGAAUAAGUGCUAGAGUAACUGUUAGCGCCUUGACGGUAUCUAACCAGAAAGCCACGGCUAACUACGUG
This 498-nucleotide ribosomal RNA is filed under the name uncultured bacterium. Its description in RNAcentral is "partial 16S ribosomal RNA". It matches the Rfam family "Bacterial small subunit ribosomal RNA", at positions 28 to 507 of the family's 1533-position model. The record is from RNAcentral.